This 703-nucleotide long non-coding RNA is filed under the name Physcomitrium patens. Its description in RNAcentral is "long non-coding RNA (PPAT_LNC012147)". The record is from RNAcentral. Lineage: Eukaryota; Viridiplantae; Streptophyta; Bryopsida; Funariales; Funariaceae.
UUUAUGUAUAAAGAUAAUAGACUUGAUUUUCUACACAUAUGUGAAAUAUGAAAAAAAUUUAAUAAUUUAAAAAGGAGAUAUUGGUACUGGAAGUUUAACAUUUAGAUUGGAGUAGGAAGCCAACCAAUAUCCAAGCGGAUUUUAGGAUUUUUCUUCUAUUUGGUAUGUGCGAUUAUCUUUAAAUUUUGUAUGCUUGUUAUUAAUUUAGUUUUUGAAAAGUGUAUAAAAUUUUAAUGAAGAUCAAUAAUUUAAUCAAUAGAUAUUGAGGUUCUAAAUUGUGUUAGGGUUAGAUUAAAUUUGUUAGGUUUUGGUUAGGAUCUGAUUUAGAAUUUAGGAUUUGUUUAGGAUUUGAUUUAGAAUUUAGGAUUUGUGUAGGGUUUAAUUUAGGAUUUAGAAAUUAUUUAAAAUUUGAUUUAAGAUUUAGGAUUUUUUAAGAAUUUGAUUUAGGAUUUAGGAUUUGUUUAGGAUUUGAUUUAGGAUUUAGGAUUUAUUUAGGAUUUGAUUUAAGAUUUAGAAUUUAAUUAGAAUUUAGGAUUUGGCCUAUAUUUUGAUUAAAGUCCAUUAUUAUUUUAAUUAGGAUUAAAUUAGGAUUUGAUUCGGAUUUAUUUAAAAUAUAUUUUUUAUUAUUUUAAUAUUUCUUUAGAAUUUUUUAAGGAUUUUUUUAAGGUUUAUUGUGGAUUUCUUUUAAACUCUUUUUAGAUAU